UGCUUUUCUGCCGGCGACCGGCGCACGGGUGCGGAACGCGUAUGGAACCUGCCCCUGUCAGGGGAAUAGCCCAGGGAAACUUGGAUUAAUGCCCCAUGGUAUCAUUAUAUCGCAUGAUAUUUUGAUUAAAGAUUUAUCGGACAGGGAUGGCCAUGCGUACCAUUAGUUAGAUGGUGAGGUAACGGCUCACCAUGGCAGCGAUGGUUAGGGGCCCUGAGAGGGGGAUCCCCCACACUGGUACUGAGACACGGACCAGACUCCUACGGGAGGCAGCAGUGAGGAAUAUUGGACAAUGGUCGGGAGACUGAUCCAGCCAUGCCGCGUGCAGGAUGACUGCCCUAUGGGUUGUAAACUGCUUUUAUACGGGAAGAAACGCACCUACGUGUAGGUGUCUGACGGUACCGUAAGAAUAAGGACCGGCUAACUCCGUGCCAGCAGCCGCGGUAAUACGGAGGGUCCGAGCGUUAUCCGGAAUCAUUGGGUUUAAAGGGUCCGUAGGCGGGCCUGUAA
This 510-nucleotide ribosomal RNA is filed under the name Allomuricauda sp. Ar-47. RNAcentral describes it as "bacterial SSU rRNA". It matches the Rfam family "Bacterial small subunit ribosomal RNA", at positions 78 to 586 of the family's 1533-position model. Lineage: Bacteria; Pseudomonadati; Bacteroidota; Flavobacteriia; Flavobacteriales; Flavobacteriaceae. The record is from RNAcentral.